RNAcentral lists this long non-coding RNA (1569 nucleotides) under Fukomys damarensis (Damara mole-rat). RNAcentral's name for it is "lncRNA (ENSFDAG00000023145.1)". The record is from RNAcentral. Lineage: Eukaryota; Metazoa; Chordata; Mammalia; Rodentia; Bathyergidae.
CUCCACAUUAUCAAAGUUUCAGGUAAGUAAAACAAAGGCAGAUAACUUUUCCUUUGUAUAGAGUUUGUUUUUUUUUUUUUUUCCUUUGAGGCCAAGUCUGGCUUAGCUGAGACCAUGAUAACUCACAAAGUUUUUAAGCAUCUUUGGUUGCAGUUUUAUCUUAUAGUCCCCCACAAAAUCUGUAUCAAAAUUUUUAAUUAUGCACUUGAGAGAAGUUGGUUUGGUAUUAGCAUUUCCCAUAACUAUUAGAUAUUCCCUUGUCCGGUGAUGCAAUGCAAGACAAAGGGUGGGGUGCCGGGGGUUCUGUUUCAGAAAACGGCCUUGUUUAUUUGCCUGGAGGGCUCUUUAAGCAUAAGCCCUCCUCCCUUUCUUUUGAUGUACAAAGGAGGCUACCCAGCUCUUCCCAUUCACUCUCCUAACCAAUUCUCUUUCACACACACAGUCACCUAAGAAGUUAAUACAUUCCCUCCCUGGGUCCCCUUCCAAAGACAAACUAGGGAGCAACCCAGGGGAUCUCACCAUUCAGACAGAUGAUUUUAUUCAUUUUCCUUCUUUCUGUUCAACUAUUGACGAGCCGGCCUCUGCGUCCUAGAAAGGGAACCCAGGAAAUCCUGGGGGCGCGCACCUUUUCCCUUCCAAGGAGGCAGACAGUCGCUUGCUCAGGUGGGACUCGGAUUGACACAGGGAGCGAAGCUUUCCAUGAGAGAAUUUAACCCCGUAAUCAUCCUUCUGCUCAGGGAAAAAAAACAAUUUUAAAAUUAGUUAGAAAGCAAUCCAGUGGGGUGGUGUUCUUGGAGCUGGAUGCUCCCAUCUUGUCCCUAGGAACAAAUUUAGUUUAACACUCAACAGAUGAGACACUGACAAGACAGACAGGCGCCACACAAAAGAAAAGCUUUGAUUCUACUACCCGGAGUCCUCAUCAGGGCCGGGGUCAGGGGAGGUUUCCCGGCUUGUCAGCCACAUCGGUCCUGACAAACAAGACAGUUGCAACCGCCAGCACAAAGCUUACCUCUGGAGGCUUUCAAAGGUCUGUGUCUGAGAAUCUCCUGCUGGAUCCCGCAACAGAGACUCUCGGCCGGAUUUACAGUUCCCGCCUGGGUAUCUCGCUGGGGCCUCCAAUAUGUAAGACCUAAAGUCUCACUUCCACUCCACGGAGCGUGAACAGCCAAAAGGCCUCCACGAUGCUGGGCCCUAACACCCAGCGAGGCUCCGGGAACACGACAGAGAACCAAGAAACCCAGGAAGGAACACACCAGCCUAGAUGGUAAAGAGACCUUUAUUAGUCUGGCCAGAUGGCACUCCCGGAGCCAGGUGGCUCAGAGAGGCAACUGCUCAGGGGCUGAGGUACUUUUUAUAAGGUUUUUCUAAACAAAGAGUCAGGGAAUUCACAGAACAAGACUGCAAACACAUUGCUUAUCUUAUGCAGGAAAUGUUCUAGGGUCACCUUUUGUCAAACCAUUUGCCCCUGGGUGGGCUGUUAGCCAAGGUAGCAAUUAGCAUAUGAAGAAGCACAGUCUGGCCUAUUAGCAUGGAGUCAUUUUAGCCUAUUCAAGUCUUACAGUCACCAUA